AAAUCACAAUAUGAUAAAGGCUUUUAUUUAACAUGUGCUUGCACAGUAAUGAAAAAUAAACACUGACAUAUAUAUAUAUGUACAAAUCAGUGCUAUUUGUACAAUAAAUGCUUACCAAGACGAAGGACACAUUUUCAACUAAUGUAAUAAACAGUCUGGUAGGAAUUUAAUUGUUUUUUGAUAAGCCAGCAAGAAGUUGUUUUUGAAGAAUCACAAGGAAUUACAUCCUUUGAAAAGGAGGGUACUACUCCCUAAAGAUUUCUGAGUUUCAUAUGUGGCAGGUAAAAACCAAGUUUUGAAAUGACUACAGUGUUUCUCUGCAGAUGUACUUUACUGUGGCAUAAAGGCAUAUUCUUUUAAAAGGCUACAUGGUUUUUAAAAACAAUUUGCCAUCCUGUUCAAACCCAGUUUUACUCAUGAGAAAGGACCCUUAUAGAUGCUGUGGUGCAUAAGUUAACUGCAAUCAUAAUUUUGUGCCAUGUUGCACUGUAAAUGUGAAUUUUAAAAAACUCAGGUUGCAGUGUUAGGCAUAGUGGUGCUCAUCUAGAUCACUGGUUGAGAACCACUGAUCUAGACUGUUCUAGGGAAGGGCCAGAUGUUUUUCAACUACAUAUACCAUAAUCCCCAAGUAUUAGCAGUGAUUCUUAAGGCUGAUGAGUGUUACUGUCUGAAAUCAACUGAAGGCAUGUGGAGUUUCAAAAGCAGCCAUGUUGUUUCUCAAUGAGUUUGCGAAAUAUUGGUCUAAAUCAAGCCCCCUUGAGUAUGUGGAACUUGGUCUGCUUUUUUUCUAAUUACAGUCACUCUCAACAUUUGUGGGCUUCAUUUUUGCGGAUUUGAUUAUUUGGUCAACAUCCAGCAGAAGCUGACCAUAGUGUUGCACUGGAGGGCUUAAAGAUUACCAAAGAGGCAUUCUUUCAGGUAAAAAGUGGCAUUUUAUUAAUUUUUUGGAUGUUUUGCUUUUGCAGUGAAUGUGAAGGGCUGGCUUUACUUGGAUUCAUUUGUACUAUGAGGUUGGUAAAAUUAAUCAUUUGAUUCUUAAAGAAAAAAAACCCUCUUUAUAUAAACAUAAGUAUGAAAUAGUUCCUAGGCAGUUAGGAAGUGUUUGGUUGUAACAAAUUGUAGGUACAAGCAUGUUUUGUUUUUAACUCAAAUUUCAUUUGUACAAUAUUUGUAUAUACACACAAUGAACUUAAUAAAUUUCAAUUGUAGUUUG
Long non-coding RNA from Anolis carolinensis (green anole), 1213 nucleotides. RefSeq lists it as uncharacterized. The record is from RefSeq and is a predicted model, not a curated record. The transcript is spliced from 2 exons. NCBI's taxonomy places the organism in Eukaryota, Metazoa, Chordata, Lepidosauria, Squamata, Anolidae.